ACUACUACAUCUAAAUGACCUCAUAUAAUAUCGGGGAUACGGCCUGAAAGUUUCUACCGAACCGCCGUAAAUGGUUCGACUAUGAGGACAGAUACCUAUGCC
Aneurinibacillus migulanus is the source of this 102-nucleotide non-coding RNA. The record is from Rfam. NCBI's taxonomy places the organism in Bacteria, Bacillati, Bacillota, Bacilli, Caryophanales, Paenibacillaceae.